Molecule: ribosomal RNA, 212 nt
Filed under: uncultured bacterium
Lineage: Bacteria
Description: partial 16S ribosomal RNA
Rfam family: Bacterial small subunit ribosomal RNA
Source: RNAcentral
AAUCUACCUUUGGCUCCGGGACAACACCUCUAACGAGAUGCUAAUACCGGAUGAUGCAGCGGCACCGCAUGGUGACAGUUGUUAAAGCUUCGGCGGCCAUAGAUGAGCAUGCGUUUGAUUAGGUAGUUGGUAAGGUAACGGCUUACCAAGCCUUCGAUCAAUAGCUGGUCUGAGAGGAUGAUCAGCCACACUGGGACUGAGACACGGCCCAG